RNAcentral lists this unclassified non-coding RNA (344 nucleotides) under uncultured fungus. RNAcentral's name for it is "sequence contains ITS1". The record is from RNAcentral. Lineage: Eukaryota; Fungi.
ACAAAAGCUUUGAUGAGGUGACGCUGCCCAAGGAGAUUGCCGAGAAGUUCAAGCCGUCGCCGCAGGCUUUUCCCAAUGCGACGGACCGUCGGCGAUGGCUCGACUUCAUCACGUGGUAUCACCAGGCGAUCAUCGAUUUCGCGGACAAGUCAAUCACGGUUGUGCUCAAGUACUUCCCGAAAGAGAAGGUCAGGACCAAGCCGGGCGGAAAUGCCGGCGGGGUGAAUCCGAUUGCCUGGGGAACGUAUUGUCCCGGUUAUGCGAAGAUGGCAAAAACGCACGGCAUCGUGCUUCAGCCGGCCGAUUGCCAGGGAGCAUAUUUCGGGGACAAGUGGGUGGGGACC